CAGAGCGAACGCUGGCGGCAUGCUAACACAUGCAAGUCGCACGGUCAGCAAUGGCAGUGGCGGACGGGUGAGUAACACGUAGGAAUCUAUCCCGGGGUGGGGGACAACAGUGGGAAACUGCUGCUAAUACCGCAUGAUACCUGAGGGUCAAAGGCGCAAGUCGCCUUGGGAGGAGCCUGCGUCUGAUUAGCUUGUUGGUGGGGUAAAGGCCUACCAAGGCUACGAUCAGUAGCUGGUCUGAGAGGAUGAUCAGCCACAUUGGGACUGAGACACGGCCCAAACUCCUACGGGAGGCAGCAGUGGGGAAUAUUGGACAAUGGGGGCAACCCUGAUCCAAGCAAUGCCGCGUGUGUGAAGAAGGUCUUCGGAUUGUAAAGCACUUUUGGCAGGGACGAUGAUGACGGUACCUGCAGAAUAAGCCCCGGCUAACUUCGUGCCAGCCGCGGC
RNAcentral lists this ribosomal RNA (447 nucleotides) under uncultured bacterium. RNAcentral describes it as "bacterial SSU rRNA". It matches the Rfam family "Bacterial small subunit ribosomal RNA", at positions 25 to 518 of the family's 1533-position model. The record is from RNAcentral.